CAUGUGACACACAUUGUUGUGGGCCAUUAACAUAUUGUGGACAAUUUUGCCCUUAAUGAAAAUGACACUUGUGGAUGAGUGAUUUGUGGACGAGUGAUGCGUGGUUGGGUGAUUUGUGGACGGGUGAAUUGUAGACGGGUGAUGAGUAAUGUGUGGAUAUGUGUUGUUAAUGUGUUUAUAGUAGAUAACGUGGACAAACUCUUUGUUUUGAUUCCAUAAAACUAUACAACAAUACGUGGACAUGGACUCAUGUUACUAAAAUUAUACCUUAAAACGUGGACACAGACUCUGUUAUCUCCAAUACAAACACUUGGCUUCUUCAGCUCAAUUGAUAAAUUAUCUGCAGUUAAAAUUCAAUCAAGAUGAGAAAGAGAUGAUAUUGUGAGUAUGAGCGGAGAGAAAAAUCGAAGAAUCGUUUACCUUUUGUCGGAGAGUAAUAGAUCUUGCAUGUCAGAGAUUUCUGAUCUAAGAAAUUUGCGCUUUGUCAUGAUGUGGAUGGAUGUAAUUUUGAUUAGAGUUGAAUUUAGAUCUUGAGAUGAUGAAUGGAAUCGAAGAAAUAUUGUCCAUGUCCACAACUAGUUUAUAAUUCUGUUAAAAUGUUCAUGUCCACAACUAAUUUAUAAUUCUGUUAUCCACGCUUUGGUGUCCACGUCCACAUUUUGUUUACACAUUAAUAUGUAUAAUAUAUAUAUAUAAACAUGAAUCUUAAAAGAUAGAGAAUUUUAUAUAUAGUUUAUUAUGACAAUUAUUUUUGUUAAUAUUUUAGAACUUGAAAUAAAAGUAAAUAAAUACAUAAAGUAGAAUAAGAAAAAUAAUAAAAUGAAAUAAGAAGAGGAGAUAAAUUCUCUUAAUUUACUUUAGGGUCAUAAGAGUCUUUUUGACAAAAAAAAAUGUGUCUCAAGUGAUAAGUGUCUUGUAGUGUAAUUUGAAUCUGAUAAAAUGUCUCUAGAUGUAAAAAAAAAUUUUUAGGACUCCAUAAUUCCAAAAAUCUGGUGUAGCAUAGUGGUUUUAGGCAAAAAAAUUAGUUAGCAUGCUAUAUUAUCAUGAGAAGUUCGAACCUCCAAAAUUGCUUUUCAAUACUUUUGUCAGAAAAAGUUAAUUUUGUUUUAUUGUCAACUUUCCAAAAUUAAAAAGGAACAUCUCUUUCGUUUUAUCAAAAUUCCUAAAUAGAAAGAGAAUAAAAAUCGCAACUACUUUAUACAUUAUCAUCUAUAUAUAUUCUUAUGUUGUAUGUAUAACUUAUUUCUCAUGCAUUAUCCCACCAUCUUUCUUCUUGGUUCCUUGUUGUGUGCUUCUGUCAACAAGCAGAGUAUCUCUUUUUAUUUAAUCAUCACCGUCUCUUCUUGUAUUAAGACCGGACAAUGAUCAUAAGACGGGGGAAAGGAUGACGUGGGAACUCAAAAUGUCAAGAAGAAAUGAAUGAAGGCAAAGCUGUCUUAGUUAUUAGGUCUCUAUCAAAGAGCAAGUUGGGGUUCCAUCCAGCCACAUCAAAUGUUCCAAUUAAUGUACACAUCAUUAGAUUUUAGCCCCACCAUCUAUAUAUCAUGUAUAUGUAUCUUUUUCUGAUAAACUGGGUAUCCGGCGGGGCGAAGCCAAACUAA
Long non-coding RNA from Brassica napus (rape), 1601 nucleotides. RefSeq lists it as uncharacterized. The transcript has 2 exons. NCBI's taxonomy places the organism in Eukaryota, Viridiplantae, Streptophyta, Magnoliopsida, Brassicales, Brassicaceae. The record is from RefSeq and is a predicted model, not a curated record.